GCCCACGGGUGGAGCUGGACGCGCGCCGCCGGCCGGGACGGUGAGGCGGAUGGUCGCCGCCACUGGCCGUCGGGUCAGGAUCUCUUUGAGCGUCGUCAUGGAUUCGUGCUGUUUUAGUGAGAGAGAGAGUCUAAGAGAACCAAGAAAAUGCAGAAAAUUUACCGAUUGCGAGGAGGAGGAGUGGACGCUUGCGAGGUGGAGUUGUGAACGCCUACGCCAGACGGUGUUCGUCCGUGAGAGAGAGAGAGAGA
Molecule: long non-coding RNA, 251 nt
Organism: Rhododendron vialii
Lineage: Eukaryota; Viridiplantae; Streptophyta; Magnoliopsida; Ericales; Ericaceae
Exons: 2
Source: RefSeq, a predicted model, not a curated record